CCCUAAGUUACAGGCGAGCUGAAGCGUGCAAAACGCUCAGAUUUGAAAUCCCCCCGGGGAGUUGUAAUUUGAACGAUUGCGUUCUUGGAGGCGACCGUGUCUAUGUUCCUUGGCCACCGGANGUUUCAUANGGUGAGAAUCCCGUGCGGCACGGCCCCCGGCUCCUUAUAAGGCGCUCUCGACGAGUCGAGUUGUUUGGGAAUGCAGCUCAAAGUGGGUGGUAAAUUCCAUCUAAAGCUAAAUACAGGCGAGAGACCGAUGCGAACAAGUACAGUGAUGGAAAAGAUAAAAGCACUUUUGCAACAUGAGAAGUUGAAAACAGCACCGGUGGAAAAUUGGUUGGCAACAGGGGAAANGGGGCCAUNGCCCGGUCCCGGAUUUUGGUUCCCAGGUGGUGGGGGUUAAGAAAAGNCGGGGGGGUUNCCACACAGGAACUUGGUGGCGAAACCGGUUGGGCCCCCUUCGGGGUUGGUUAUUAGGCCGAUUCAUGGCCCCGCUCUUCUUUCCGGAGGCCUUGCUUUUGAGGGACACCGACUUAUUGACGUCGCCGCCG
RNAcentral lists this ribosomal RNA (553 nucleotides) under Kodamaea ohmeri. RNAcentral describes it as "eukaryotic LSU rRNA". It matches the Rfam family "Eukaryotic large subunit ribosomal RNA", at positions 77 to 549 of the family's 3401-position model. The record is from RNAcentral. Lineage: Eukaryota; Fungi; Ascomycota; Pichiomycetes; Serinales; Debaryomycetaceae.